Bos taurus (domestic cattle) is the source of this 513-nucleotide long non-coding RNA. The record is from Ensembl. Lineage: Eukaryota; Metazoa; Chordata; Mammalia; Artiodactyla; Bovidae.
UGCCUGGGAGCCCCUUCCCCACCCUCACUCUGGCUUUCUGUGAUUGCAUGUGGUCCUUGUUAAUAGCCCUCAGUUAGCCAGACCCGUUCCUUGGUCCAUCACCUGGCUACUUGCCUCAAAUAGGGCAGAGGUCUGUUGUGACAUGUGUGUGCUCAGCUGCUUCUGACUCUUUGUGACCCCACGGACUUCAGCCCAUCAGGCUCCUCUGUCCAUGGGAUUCGCCAGGCAAGAGUACUGGUCACCAUUUCCCUCUCCAGGGGAUCUUCCCGACCCAGGGAUCGAACCAGCCAUCUCCUGUGUCUCCUGCAUUGCAAGGGAUAGAUGAUCUGGUCUACAGAAGCGGUCUGAUGAAACCAAUGGACGGAAAGUGGGGCAAACUAUUCAGAGACCCAGCACAUCCUGCGCCCUUAGAGACAACGUGAGGCCCUGUCAACUGAAGGAAGAAAAGGCAAGGAGGAAGCUGGGGGUUCAGGGCAGGCGCAGCCUUCUACCUGUGCCCCUCCUGAGUUUCCC